This 492-nucleotide ribosomal RNA is filed under the name uncultured bacterium. RNAcentral describes it as "partial 16S ribosomal RNA". It matches the Rfam family "Bacterial small subunit ribosomal RNA", at positions 29 to 507 of the family's 1533-position model. The record is from RNAcentral.
AGUGAACGCUGGCGGUAGGCCUAACACAUGCAAGUCGAACGGCAGCACAGUAAGAGCUUGCUCUUACGGGUGGCGAGUGGCGGACGGGUGAGGAAUACAUCGGAAUCUACUUUUUCGUGGGGGAUAAUGUAGGGAAACUUACGCUAAUACCGCAUACGACCUACGGGUGAAAGCAGGGGAUCUUCGGACCUUGCGCGAUUGAAUGAGCCGAUGUCGGAUUAGCUAGUUGGCGGGGUAAAGGCCCACCAAGGCGACGAUCCGUAGCUGGUCUGAGAGGAUGAUCAGCCACACUGGAACUGAGACACGGUCCAGACUCCUACGGGAGGCAGCAGUGGGGAAUAUUGGACAAUGGGCGCAAGCCUGAUCCAGCCAUACCGCGUGGGUGAAGAAGGCCUUCGGGUUGUAAAGCCCUUUUGUUGGGAAAGAAAAGCAGCAGGUGAAUACCCCGCUGUUCUGACGGUACCCAAAGAAUAAGCACCGGCUAACUUCGUG